Non-coding RNA from Pelobates cultripes (western spadefoot toad), 219 nucleotides. The record is from the annotation of a GenBank genome assembly. NCBI's taxonomy places the organism in Eukaryota, Metazoa, Chordata, Amphibia, Anura, Pelobatidae.
UAAAGGAGUCAUUAUCAGACUGGAGCAACCAUGUAAUGGCGGCCAUCUAUAGGGCCAUGGCGCAACCCAUCGAUAAUGGACAGAACGUCACUUCUCAACUCUCCUCCGCAGAUGCUUUUGCGGUGAACUCAAAGUAGUUGUCUUCUUGUGAGCAUCCCCACUUUGCGUGGGAGGUGUGUAGGACUGUGUAGGAACCUCAACAGUGGUACCCAAAUGAUC